UAACCUUUAUUUGAACAAAGUGAGUGCGCAGCUUUUUUUCUUAUCUUCAUCAAAGCGCUUCCUGCACAAGGCUGAAUAAAAAACAGUGAGGUAAUAAGACGGAUAAAAACAAAAAGCUCCCAAAGCAACAACGCUUCAAAAAUGAAAGAGAAAAACAAAGCUACAGAUUUCACAUAAACAACAUCACCUAAUUCACUUAGCAAGGUCUGAAAUAAUGAGGCCAAAUGAAAGAGGCAAACUUAAGAUUGUGUUGUCCUUCCUUUUUCUUUUAAAGUUUCCUAAAAACUAGAAGCACAUUUCCUGUUUGCUUCAACUUGGAGAUCUUAGAAUUCCCCCUGCCUUACCAUCGGAGGCUUAAGAUGAAGAAAAGGUCCAUUUCUGACUGAUAACCUCAAUAAUAAACUUAAUAAUUGCCUCUUGAGAUGUUUGCAGAUAAAUGGGUCAAUGAUGCUCUAUUUUUAAAAAGACCGCGAUUCCCAACCCGCAGACUGAAAGAGAAGACUGAUGGGAGCAGACACUUUGCCUGCCGAGUUGAAAGGCUGGUGUAGUGGUAGAGUAGGGAUAAAAAUGUUGCUUCUUUGCUCUUUCUUCUGAAAAUCAUACCUCCUACAACAAAAGGUAAAAGUAAGUAACAUUCAUUUAUACGGUGCUUUUGACUCCUUUACAUGAAUAAAACCAACACUAAACAAAAGCUACACAAUAAAUCAUUCUGGAAAAUCCUGCGUUUCUGUUCAGAUUUCGGAGUUUAAGUUGGUGCCCUUCUUUCUCUUCAAUAUUUCCUGCUGCUGUUUGCAGAAUCACAGCAGAUGGAGAUAAGAGAGGCUCAUAUUCAUCUGCAAGACAAACCAUUUGCUGUGUUCCAACUUUCAUUUUAUGAAAAGAAAAAAAAAACAAAAAAAAACAUCCGCAGACUUGAAAGCUGCAGCAGCAUGAUAAUCUAUCACAAUAUACAUGAGGCCUUUAUCCAGUCUCAUCAAAGUUUCUGUUUAAUCCAGAGUUCACUGUGCCCUGGUGGAGUGCUUUCAUAUCAGGUCAUCUCACACCCAACGGGAAGAAAGAGAAAUGUGCCACAGAGGAUUCCUCAAAAAAACAAGUUUUGUUGCUUCAUACACUCCAGCAAAAUAUGCAGCAUAAUGUCCUUCAGUGAGAUCAAAACAAUGCUUCAUUGUUAAAAUAAGUCCUAUUCCGCGUAUAACUCCUGCACUCCACAACAUGUGGCUUUUUCAAGGUUACGUUCUUAUUACUGAAAGGAGUCUAGUAGUUUUAAAUUCUUCCGGGUAGAAAAACCUGUAAUCACAAAUCACUUUUUAUAAGGGGGUCAUAUAUUUAGCGUGUAAAGUCUCAAGGAACUGCAGCUGUGAAAUGAAUGCAGUAAAAAUUAUGAUAUUUGAAGUUUCGAGAUGGAAGGAUUAGAGUGAUGCAUCAUUGAUCCCAACCAACCAACAUUUAGAGGAGCCUUUUCCACAUAGAAGCUGAACCGCAGCACAUCUACAGAGAUCGAAAG
This is a long non-coding RNA of Astatotilapia calliptera (eastern happy), 1504 nucleotides long. The record is from Ensembl. Lineage: Eukaryota; Metazoa; Chordata; Actinopteri; Cichliformes; Cichlidae.